GACUGAGGGGGUACAAGGAGAAUUUCAACCUUGACUUUUCAUUUUAGGAAGCAAUCAAUGGAGCUCAUCUCUUUGACAGCAACAAAACCAGCGAGAGAGCUGGCGUGGCACCUUUGCAAGGCUGGAAAAUGAGGACUGUGCUGCCAGCAAGAUGCGGGACCCCAUUGGGGCUGUGCCACUCGUUAGCUGUCGGACCCCACUCAGGCGACAGAGCGUCUCAAUGUCUCUGCUCUUCCUGUUUCCAGGAGCCUGCAAGAGGACUGUGCGAGUGCGAGGCUAAGAGCAGUGCCUGGCUGGAGACGGAAUCCACAGAACGCCGCGACCAGCUGGAUGGUGUGAGAGGGUUCGGCCUGAAGUCCUUGUCUGCGAUGGUCCCACUGUCCAUUCAUUCACCCGAACCAGAAGACUGGGACACACCCUCAGCUUCCCACUCUGCCCCAAUGUCACACCCGAAUCCAUCAACCUGUCUUCCUCUCCUAACAUCCUGGUCUCGUCCUCAUCUUCACCGUGCCCUCCUUACGCAGUGAGUCACCAUCCCCUUCACCAGUCCAGCUGCCGGAUGGGGGCCAGAGGAGGCCUGGUGUACUGCAGACUGAGGAGGAGGAAGAACAAAAUGCUAAGGUAGAAGCUUGCUCUGAGGUUGGAAUGGCUUCCAAAUCAUUCCAGGUGUGUUUCAAGGCUUAAAGAGAAAUUGCUGGCAGAGUUUCAGCCCCCAAGUACAGCAAAGAACAUCUUCUUGAGCUGCCUUGCCUGGAGCCCAAUUAAGGCAAAGACACAAACUCGCCCGGCCACGGCCCCACAAAGUCUGGCCUCAGGGCUGCAGCGCACUUGGAAGACGUUUUAAUUUCAUUUGUGUGUUUUUUCAAUUUGAUUAUUAAGUGCCGUUUACACAUGGACAGGGGAAGGCCUGUUUUCGCUCGCCGACUCCCCUUCCUCCCUGGCCCGCGUGCCUCCCUGGUGAGUAACGGGGAGGCUGCUUUGCUGGAAUACAGGGGAAACCUUCCAGCAAAUUGCAAAAGCAUGUUCCUUCCUUGAAAACUUUCACACUUGUUUUUCGACUCUGAUCCUCAAGUUCAUGAAAGCCUCCAUAAACGCACUUUAAAAGACCUUAGCUUUCUUUGUUCUCCGUGGCCAACUUUCUUUGUCUCCCAGGAGGAGGUGUGUGACUUCAAGGGACAAUAAACAAAGCAUCAAGCCUGGGGCGAGGGCCCAGCAGGCU
This is a non-coding RNA of Oryctolagus cuniculus (rabbit), 1219 nucleotides long. Lineage: Eukaryota; Metazoa; Chordata; Mammalia; Lagomorpha; Leporidae. The record is from RefSeq and is a predicted model, not a curated record.